GAUCCUGGCUCAGGAUGAACGCUAGCGACAGGCUUAACACAUGCAAGUCGAGGGGCAGCAUGGUCAGUAGCAAUACCGACUGAUGGCGACCGGCGCACGGGUGAGUAACGCGUAUCCAACCUGCCCAUCACUUGGGAAUAACCUUGCGAAAGUAAGACUAAUGCCCAAUGAUAUCCCACGAAGGCAUCCGAAUGGGAUUAAAGAUUUAUCGGUGAUGGAUGGGGAUGCGU
RNAcentral lists this ribosomal RNA (230 nucleotides) under uncultured bacterium. Its description in RNAcentral is "partial 16S ribosomal RNA". It matches the Rfam family "Bacterial small subunit ribosomal RNA", at positions 15 to 236 of the family's 1533-position model. The record is from RNAcentral.